This 125-nucleotide small RNA is filed under the name Marmota monax (woodchuck). The record is from RNAcentral. Lineage: Eukaryota; Metazoa; Chordata; Mammalia; Rodentia; Sciuridae.
GCCAGGCACGGUGGCACUUGCCUGUAAUCCCAGCGGCUCUGGAGGCUGAGGCAGGAGGAUCCUGAGUUCAAAGCCAACCUCAGCAAAAUUGAGGUGCUAAGCAAUUCAGUGAGACCCUGUCUCUA